GUAAGGUGUAUUUUUAUAGUGUUUAUAUUCCACGUUUAAUCGUUUGUUUUAUUUUAAAAAAUUAUGAUUAGUAUUUUUAUUGCUAUUGGAUGAUAAAACAUGAAUAACUUUAUAUGUGACUAUAUUUAGAAAAAAAUUCUUAAAAUUUUGAAAUAAGAUGAAAUAUUAAAUGUUGAACACGUAAAUCCACAAAUACAGUCAUA
Molecule: microRNA precursor, 203 nt
Filed under: Oryza brachyantha (malo sina)
Lineage: Eukaryota; Viridiplantae; Streptophyta; Magnoliopsida; Poales; Poaceae
Description: MIR812 microRNA precursor family
Rfam family: MIR812 microRNA precursor family
Source: Rfam by way of RNAcentral